GGGGCUGCAUUGGUUUCGACGCGGGUUGGAAUCGUCGCGGUGCAUGUCGAGCUCAGUUUGCUCGUAAAACCGACUGAAACAAAGUAACUGCAAACGACGAACGUUUCGCACUCGCCGCUUAAACACCGGUGAGCCUCGCAACAGUCUGCCGACGGGCUGGGCAAGGGCAGCGCAAGCUGUCCAGGCUGCGAGGGAAUGCACAUCGGCUGGCUUGACUCCGGGCACCUUGGAGGCAAGCGAGAUUCAAGGGUGCUGGCGGUUCCGGUAGCGUGCGCCUGCGCGACCGGAACAGCGAGAUCCAAAUCAGAGCGCUAAACAUGUAGAUCUGCACGAGGAAGGUUCGCGGACGCGGGUUCAAAUCCCGCCAGCUCCACCA
This 376-nucleotide transfer-messenger RNA is filed under the name Tibeticola sediminis. RNAcentral's name for it is "Standard tmRNA". It matches the Rfam family "transfer-messenger RNA". Rfam says of the family: Bacterial tmRNA, also known as 10Sa RNA or SsrA, is named for its dual tRNA and mRNA-like properties. Its role is to liberate the mRNA from a stalled ribosome. To accomplish this part of the tmRNA is used as a reading frame that ends in a translation stop signal. Lineage: Bacteria; Pseudomonadati; Pseudomonadota; Betaproteobacteria; Burkholderiales; Comamonadaceae. The record is from Rfam by way of RNAcentral.